UACGUAGGGUGCAAGCGUUGUCCGGAAUUAUUGGGCGUAAAGAGCUCGUAGGCGGUCUGUCACGUCGGCUGUGAAAACUCGGGGCUCAACCCCGAGCCUGCAGUCGAUACGGGCAGACUAGAGUGCUGUAGGGGAGACUGGAAUUCCUGGUGUAGCGGUGAAAUGCGCAGAUAUCAGGAGGAACACCGGUGGCGAAGGCGGGUCUCUGGGCCGAUACUGACGCUGAGGAGCGAAAGCGUGGGGAGCGAACAGG
Molecule: ribosomal RNA, 253 nt
Filed under: uncultured bacterium
Lineage: Bacteria
Description: partial 16S ribosomal RNA
Rfam family: Bacterial small subunit ribosomal RNA
Source: RNAcentral